Molecule: ribosomal RNA, 447 nt
Filed under: uncultured Methanomicrobiales archaeon
Lineage: Archaea; Methanobacteriati; Methanobacteriota; Methanomicrobia; Methanomicrobiales
Description: bacterial SSU rRNA
Rfam family: Archaeal small subunit ribosomal RNA
Source: RNAcentral
AGCCUGCGGUUUAAUCGGACUCAACGCCGGGAAACUCACCAGAUAAGACAGCUGAAUGAUAGUCGGGCUGAAGACUCUACUUGACUAGCUGAGAGGAGGUGCAUGGCCGUCGUCAGUUCGUACUGUGAAGCAUCCUGUUAAGUCAGGCAACGAGCGAGACCCACGCCAACAGUUGCCAGCUCGUCCUCCGGGAUGGUGGGGACACUGUUGGGACCGCCUCUGCUAAAGAGGAGGAAGGAAUGGGCAACGGUGGGUCAGCAUGCCCCGAAUUAUCUGGGCUACACGCGGGCUACAAUGGGUGGGACAAUGGGUAUCGACACCGAAAGGUGAAGGCAAUCUCCUAAACCCAUCCGUAGUUCGGAUUGUGGGCUGCAACUCGCCCUCAUGAAGCUGGAAUCCGUAGUAAUCGCGUUUCAACAGAACGCGGUGAAUACGUCCCUGCUCCUU